Long non-coding RNA from Columba livia (rock pigeon), 917 nucleotides. RefSeq lists it as uncharacterized. The record is from RefSeq and is a predicted model, not a curated record. The transcript is spliced from 3 exons. Lineage: Eukaryota; Metazoa; Chordata; Aves; Columbiformes; Columbidae.
CAUAUGAGAAUUAGGGCUACUGCUGCUGAAAUCUCCACUUUGCUCAGGUUGCUAAACUACAUGCAAAUCAUUUGCUUGAAAAUGUCCCUGAGACCUGUCACCGGGGUGCAUCUCUGUGCCUGUCCCUCUCCAUCACCGCGCUCUGGAAAGGACCGCACAUCUGCUGCUCCGCGCAAACUCCCUCCAGCUCUUCACCUCCCGAACCUGUGUCGCCCAUUCUCAAAAGGCAAGUUUCACUGAAGCAUCUCCGAACCCACAACAAGGUCAGACACUCCAAGUGUGGGACGAAGUGCAAGGCUAAAUUUUAUAACACACAGUCCAUUUUGGACUCUUGUUGUAGAGGUGCUGACAAGGAAUUUUGAUUUUCAACGAAGUUCGAAGAAUCCAGUCACUCAAGUAAAGCGGGAAACUUGCCUUUUUUGAGCAAGUGGUCUUUCCUCAUCAAUUUGUAUAGGACUGAAGAUUAAAAAUAGCUCUUCAGCUGGGGUACAGCUGUGCAGCAUUGACUUAAAUGGAGCUGCACUGCCUCACAACAAGCGAGCAUCUGUACAUAGCCCUCUACUAUGGCAAACCACAGAAGUUAACACCAAGGAUUCCACUGCAAUUAAUUGGACUUUCUUGAUGAUUGUAUUAGACUGAGGAUUGAUAAUUUAUCUCAGCCUGGACCGUACAAAGGCUGGAUGCUGAACUUAGGAAAAUGUGAACUGGGAGACAACCUGGUGAGAGCAACCGAGUGACUGCAGCCCCGGAGAGGCCGCGAGGAGCCGCGGACCCAGCGCAGGAGAAGCUCCCUGAAGCUCCAGCCCAGACCAUGGGGUUUGCCAGCUGAACACAAAGGGUGGUGUAAAGCUGGGGGAUUUGUGUAUGCUGUCAGUUCAGAAGCAGAGCCAACACCAUUCUCCUGUAAGCAGUUGACA